RNAcentral lists this ribosomal RNA (322 nucleotides) under uncultured eukaryote. Its description in RNAcentral is "partial 18S ribosomal RNA". It matches the Rfam family "Eukaryotic small subunit ribosomal RNA", at positions 1470 to 1796 of the family's 1831-position model. The record is from RNAcentral.
CCCUUAGAUGUUCUGGGCCGCACGCGUGCUACACUGAGUGGAUCAGCGGGUCAGGUUGCGCGAAAGUGUUUCCUAAUCUUUAAAUCCGCUCGUGAUGGGGAUUGACGGUUGCAAUUUUCCGUCAUGAACGAGGAAUACCUUGUAAGCGCGGGUCAUCGUCCCGCGCUGAAUACGUCCCUGCCCUUUGUACACACCGCCCGUCGCUCCUACCGAUUGAGUGGUCCGGUGAGGCUUUGGGAUCUGGGCGGAAAGAGCGUUUCGCUGUUUCUGCCCGGAAAACUCAGUCGAACCUUAUCAUUUAGAGGAAGGAGAAGUCGUAACA